GGGGCGUGGAUACGGAUGAAUUGACGGCGCCGUCCGCCAAUCGUAUUUGAGGACAGGGAUGCAGCGAGCACUCGACAAAUCAGAAGAGAGUCGUAAUCCGUGAAUACGUUCAAGCUCGGUUGGGGGGAACAGUGGAACACUGCGCAUAUGGGAGGACGUGAAGCAGCACAGGAGGAAUGGCGACACACUAAAACAGUCUAAAAACACUAAAACACAAAAAAAGAAAUCGGGGGAGAAGAGCCUUGGUGAGAGAGGUAAAGAAGAACUGAGAGACCACUGUGGCUGAGCUCCAGAGAUGCAGUCAGGAGAUUGGAGAAAGUUCUAGAAAGUCAACCAUCACUGCAGCCCUCCACCAGUCAGGGCUUUAUGGCAGAGUGGCCUGACGGAAGCCUCUCCUCAGUUCAAGACGCAUGAAAGCCCGCAUGGAGUUUGCUAAAAAACACCUGAAGGACUCCCAGAUGGUCUCUGGUCUGAUGAGAUCAAGAUAGAACUUUUUGGCCUCAAUUCUAAGUGGUAUGUGUGGAGAAAACCAGGCACUGCUCAUCACCUGUCCAAUACAGUCCCAACAGUGAAGCAUGGUGGUGGCAGCAUCAUGCUGCGGGGGUGUUUUUCAGCUGCAGGGACAGGACGACUCGUUGCAAUCGAAGGAAAGAUGAAUGGCGGCCAAGUAGAGGGAUAUCCUGGACAAAAACCUUCUCCAGAGUGCUCAGGACUUCAGACUGGGCCGAAGGUUCACCUUCCAACAAGACAAUGACCCUAAGCACAUAGCAAAAAUUCCGAAGGAGUGGCUUCAGAACAACUCCGUGACUGUUCUUGAAUGGCCCAGCCAGAGCCCUGACAUAAACCCAAUUGAGCAUCUCUGGAGAGACCUGAAAAUGGCUGUCCACCAACGUUCACCAUCCAACCUGACAGAACUGGAGAGGAUCUGGAAGGAGGAAUGGCAGAGGAUUCCCAAAUCCAGGUGUGAAAAACUUGUUGCAUCAUUCCCAAAAAGACUCAUGGCUGUAUUCGCUCAAAAGGGUGCUUCUACCAAAUACUGAGCAAAGGGUCUGAAUACUUAUGGCUUUGUGAUAUUGUUUUUUUGUCUUUUUUAAUAAAUCUGCAAAAAUUCAA
Phyllopteryx taeniolatus (common seadragon) is the source of this 1113-nucleotide long non-coding RNA. RefSeq lists it as uncharacterized. NCBI's taxonomy places the organism in Eukaryota, Metazoa, Chordata, Actinopteri, Syngnathiformes, Syngnathidae. The record is from RefSeq and is a predicted model, not a curated record. The transcript is spliced from 2 exons.